Non-coding RNA from Trichobilharzia regenti, 46 nucleotides. Lineage: Eukaryota; Metazoa; Platyhelminthes; Trematoda; Strigeidida; Schistosomatidae. The record is from Rfam.
GUACUGCUGAAGAGUCCCAAACAAGGACGAAACAGCUAUCCAAUAC